RNAcentral lists this ribosomal RNA (497 nucleotides) under uncultured bacterium. RNAcentral's name for it is "partial 16S ribosomal RNA". It matches the Rfam family "Bacterial small subunit ribosomal RNA", at positions 28 to 507 of the family's 1533-position model. The record is from RNAcentral.
GACGAACGCUGGCGGCGUGCCUAAUACAUGCAAGUUGAGCGCUGAAGGUUGGUACUUGUACCGACUGGAUGAGCAGCGAACGGGUGAGUAACGCGUGGGGAAUCUGCCUUUGAGCGGGGGACAACAUUUGGAAACGAAUGCUAAUACCGCAUAAAAACUUUAAACACAAGUUUUAAGUUUGAAAGAUGCAAUUGCAUUACUCAAAGAUGAUCCCGCGUUGUAUUAGCUAGUUGGUGAGGUAAAGGCUCACCAAGGCGAUGGUACAUAGCCGACCUGAGAGGGUGAUCGGCCACAUUGGGACUGAGACACGGCCCAAACUCCUACGGGAGGCAGCAGUAGGGAAUCUUCGGCAAUGGACGAAAGUCUGACCGAGCAACGCCGCGUGAGUGAAGAAGGGUUUCGGAUCGUAAAACUCUGGUGGUAGAGAAGAACGUUGGUGAGAGUGGAAAGCUCAUCAGGUGACGGUAACUACCCAGAAAGGGACGGCUAACUACGUG